RNAcentral lists this ribosomal RNA (393 nucleotides) under uncultured bacterium. RNAcentral describes it as "partial 16S ribosomal RNA". It matches the Rfam family "Bacterial small subunit ribosomal RNA", at positions 523 to 918 of the family's 1533-position model. The record is from RNAcentral.
AUACGGAGGAUGCGAGCGUUGUCCGGAUUUAUUGGGUUUAAAGGGUGCGUAGGCUGUGCGUUAAGUCAGGGGUGAAAUGCCGUCGCUCAACGACGGAGCUGCCCUUGAUACUGGCGUGCUGGAGUACGGAUGCCGUUGGAGGAAUGAGUGGUGUAGCGGUGAAAUGCUUAGAUAUCACUCAGAACACCGAUUGCGAAGGCAUCUGACGAAUCCGUCACUGACGCUGAGGCACGAAAGCGUGGGGAUAGAACAGGAUUAGAUACCCUGGUAUUCCACGCCGUAAACGAUGAUGACUAACCGUCGGCGAUAGACAGCCGGUGGCCAAGCGAAAGCGAUAAGUCAUCCACCUGGGGAGUACGUCGGCAACGAUGAAACUCAAAGGAAUUGACGGGG